UCCCUGGAGGACUUGUGGUUAGGCUCUCGGUGCUCUGGCUGCUGUGGCUUGGGUUCGAUUCCCGGCCAGGGAA
Non-coding RNA from Pangasius djambal, 73 nucleotides. NCBI's taxonomy places the organism in Eukaryota, Metazoa, Chordata, Actinopteri, Siluriformes, Pangasiidae. The record is from the annotation of a GenBank genome assembly.